This 243-nucleotide long non-coding RNA is filed under the name Carica papaya (papaya). RNAcentral describes it as "long non-coding RNA (CPAP_LNC007729)". Lineage: Eukaryota; Viridiplantae; Streptophyta; Magnoliopsida; Brassicales; Caricaceae. The record is from RNAcentral.
GAAAGUUGUGCUUGUUUUCCGGUACCAUAUUUAGCUCAUUAAUUUAAGUUAAAAUUAAAAUUAAAAUAUUAAUUAUUAAUUUAACACUAAAUUGUAGUCACAAUUAAAAAUAAUAAUAAUUAUUUUUAAUAAAGCAGUCUGAGUUCAAAAAAAAAAUGAUUAAGCAAAGAAAAAAACAAAGAGUUGGUUUUGAAUCGUUUAUUUUGACAAUAAAAUCCUCAAAUUAUUACCUUUCAAUGGUGC